UACAGUCGCAAGGCUGAAACUCAAAGGAAUUGACGGGGGCCCGCACAAGCGGUGGAGCAUGUGGUUCAAUUCGACGCAACGCGAAGAACCUUACCUGGGCUCGAACGGCUGGUCAACGCCGGUAGAAAUACCGGUACCCCGCAAGGGGGUCCAGUCGAGGUGCUGCAUGGCUGUCGUCAGCUCGUGUCGUGAGAUGUUGGGUUAAGUCCCGCAACGAGCGCAACCCUUGUCCUGUGUUGCCAUCAUUCAGUUGGGAACUCGCAGGAGACCGCCAGCGAUAAGCUGGAGGAAGGUGGGGAUGACGUCAAGUCCUCAUGGCCUUUAUGUCCAGGGCUACACACGUGCUACAAUGGACGGUACAAACCGCAGCAAACCCGCGAGGGGGAGCCAAUCGGAAAAAACCGUUCUCAGUUCGGAUUGCAGGCUGCAACUCGCCUGCAUGAAGCUGGAAUCGCUAGUAAUGGCAGAUCAGCACGCUGCCGUGAAUACGUUCCCGGGCCUUGUACACACCGCCCGUCACAUCACGAAAGUGGAUUGUACUAGAAGUCUGCAGGCUGACCCGCAAGGGGGGCAGCGGCCCAAGGUAUGAUCCAUGAUUGGGGUG
RNAcentral lists this ribosomal RNA (604 nucleotides) under uncultured Terriglobales bacterium. Its description in RNAcentral is "bacterial SSU rRNA". It matches the Rfam family "Bacterial small subunit ribosomal RNA", at positions 881 to 1482 of the family's 1533-position model. The record is from RNAcentral. Lineage: Bacteria; Pseudomonadati; Acidobacteriota; Terriglobia; Terriglobales.